CAGUCGCCACGGUAAUACGGAGGAUCCAAGCGUUAUCCGGAAUCAUUGGGUUUAAAGGGUCCGUAGGCGGUUUAGUAAGUCAGUGGUGAAAGCCCAUCGCUCAACGGUGGAACGGCCAUUGAUACUGCUGAACUUGAAUUAUUAGGAAGUAACUAGAAUAUGUAGUGUAGCGGUGAAAUGCUUAGAGAUUACAUGGAAUACCAAUUGCGAAGGCAGGUUACUACUAAUUGAUUGACGCUGAUGGACGAAAGCGUGGGGAGCGAACAGGAUUAGAGACCCGUGUAGUCCCUGUCUCUUAUAU
Molecule: ribosomal RNA, 301 nt
Filed under: uncultured bacterium
Lineage: Bacteria
Description: partial 16S ribosomal RNA
Rfam family: Bacterial small subunit ribosomal RNA
Source: RNAcentral